This 422-nucleotide ribosomal RNA is filed under the name uncultured bacterium. RNAcentral describes it as "partial 16S ribosomal RNA". It matches the Rfam family "Bacterial small subunit ribosomal RNA", at positions 359 to 773 of the family's 1533-position model. The record is from RNAcentral.
GAAUUUUGGACAAUGGGGGCAACCCUGAUCCAGCCAUCCCGCGUGUGCGAUGAAGGCCUUCGGGUGGUAAACCACUUUUGGCGGGGAAGAAAAGGCUCGGCCUAAUACCUGAAGCUGCUACGGGUACCUGCAGAAUAGGCACCGGCUAACUACGUUCCAGCAGCCGCGGUAAUACGUAGGGUGCAAGCGUUAAUCGGAAUUACUGGGCGUAAAGCGUGCGCAGGCGGUUCGGCAAGAAGGAUGUGAAAUCCCAGGGCUUAACCUUGGAACUGCAUUCUUAACUGCCGGGCUAGAGUAUGUCAGAGGGGGGUAGAAUUCCGCGUGUAGCAGUGAAAUGCGUAGAGAUGCGGAGGAAUACCGAUGGCGAAGGCAGCCCCCAGGGAUAAUACUGACGCUCAUGCACGAAAGCGUGGGGAGCAAAC